This is a long non-coding RNA of Pectinophora gossypiella (pink bollworm), 1392 nucleotides long. RefSeq lists it as uncharacterized. Lineage: Eukaryota; Metazoa; Arthropoda; Insecta; Lepidoptera; Gelechiidae. The record is from RefSeq and is a predicted model, not a curated record. The transcript is spliced from 3 exons.
CGCGCGACUCUUUCUCGCCUCGACAUACGUCACCCAUCACUCUCUCACAGUACUGCACAGAAAGAGACAGACGAUCUCUGUCGCGGCGAGGAAGAGUCGCGUGCUUACGGUGCUAGGUCCGCAGAUCACAGAUCAAGACGUCAAUACAUUUUAAUAUACUAUCGCGGAGCUCCGUGUGUCGUAAAGUUUGCGGACGAGUGAAGUGCAAAGUUGAAGUACUUAUGAACUAUUUACUCAUACUUGUAUGGCGCUCACUUGGCCCUUUCAACCUCUUUCUUCUAUUCCGUGGGGAAGAGUUACCUUUGGCCUGCAGUGAGAUGGUGUAAUAUUAAUUAGUCAAGUGCACAAGAGAAAACAUUACAAGAAAUGUAAAAUUGUAAAUAUCGCAACACUUGUACUUAAGUACAAAGUACAAUGUCUCCACAUUAUCAUCAUGGUCAAUCGUAAAACAAAACAUGACUAGCCUUGUAAAUAAUUUAUACAACAUAUUGUUUGUAUUUUUACUCAUAUUUCGUGUGUCUAUACAGGGUGUUAGUGACAUCGUAACGAAAACUUUGAGGGAUGAAUGAUUCUGAGUCGAUAACAAGUGGAUUUUUCCGUCGCAAAAAUCAUGUAUUUUUUUAGUUUUUUUAAAUUAUUUUCAAUUCUAUACUUUUGCGAUGGAAAAUUCCACUUGACAUUAACUCACCUGAUAUCAAGUGGAUUUUUUAAUUAUUUUCCUAUCCAUACUUUUGCGACGGAAAAUUCCACUUGAUAUCAACUCAGAAUCAUAGUCUGAAUCAUCCCUCAAAGUUUUCGUUACGAUGUCACUAACACCCUGUAUAUAUCGUGGCCAGAUCUUAGAAUUGAUCAUUUCAUGAUGUGCUCGAUCAUUUCGUGAAAUAGCCAACUUAAGUUGACCUGUUUUUUUUUUUCUAUUACUAUAUUUUUUGUUUGUGUGUUAGUUUACCUUUUAAUUGUUUGUAAUUUGUAAUUUUUUCGUAUAUUUCAUGUUAUUUAUAGUUUUAUUUUUAUUUGUUUCAUUCACUGUUUAUUUUGUUUAUUACUUUAUAUUAUAUUAAGUAUAUUGUUUUCUCGUCAUACUGCGCAUUGAGUUACACUGUAAAGCUGAUGGCAGAUUCUGGACACAAUUUGCGAGAAUGCCGUCAAGUAAAGAUAGAGAGGAAGUCUUUCCGAGUACGUCUUUAUCACUUCGGUCAUUUGAGCCAAUAUCGAAUGGACACUCGUAUCCUUUGAUGUCACUUCUACAUCCAACCUGCAAUAUCCUGCGUAGUCUCAAAAGCGGUUCUAUGGUGCGAACAUCUGACUGGACCACAGAGAGUCGACGCCGCCACUCGCUGAGCAGCUGGUUUAAUAUAUCCGAGGCUUGCCUGUCGCCGUCGUCGAGGUUCU